RNAcentral lists this ribosomal RNA (313 nucleotides) under uncultured bacterium. RNAcentral's name for it is "bacterial SSU rRNA". It matches the Rfam family "Bacterial small subunit ribosomal RNA", at positions 28 to 334 of the family's 1533-position model. The record is from RNAcentral.
GAUGAACGCUAGCGAUAGGCUUAACACAUGCAAGUCGAGGGGUAACAUGGGAGUAGCUUGCUACUUCUGAUGACGACCGGCGGAUGGGUGAGUAACGCGUAUGCAACUUGCUUCUUAGUGGGGAAUAACCCGGAGAAAUCCGGACUAAUACCGCAUACGUCCCAUGGGAGAAAGCGGGGGCUCGCAAGACCUCGCGCGGUUGGACGAACCGAUGUGCGAUUAGCUAGUUGGCGGGGUAAUGGCCCACCAAGGCGACGAUCGCUAGCUGGUCUGAGAGGAUGAUCAGCCACACUGGGACUGAGACACGGCCCAG